This 253-nucleotide ribosomal RNA is filed under the name uncultured bacterium. RNAcentral describes it as "partial 16S ribosomal RNA". It matches the Rfam family "Bacterial small subunit ribosomal RNA", at positions 524 to 776 of the family's 1533-position model. The record is from RNAcentral.
UACGGGGGGAGCAAGCGUUGUUCGGAUUUACUGGGCGUAAAGGGCGCGUAGGUGGCGGCCCAAGUCAACGGUGAAAGCUCGGCGCUCAACGCCGAGUCGGCCGUCGAUACUGGGUUGCUUGAGCACUGUAGGGGCCAAUGGAAUUCCGGGUGUAGCGGUGGAAUGCGUAGAGAUCCGGAAGAACACCGGUGGCGAAGGCGGUUGGCUGGGCAGGUGCUGACACUGAGGCGCGACAGCGUGGGUAGCAAACAGG